CUAUGCAGUGCGCAGCUACACAUGCAGUCGAACGGACCCUUCGGGGUUAGUGGCGGACGGGUGAGUAACACGUGGGAACGUGCCUUUAGGUUCGGAAUAGCUCCUGGAAACGGGUGGUAAUGCCGAAUGUGCCCUUCGGGGGAAAGAUUUAUCGCCUUUAGAGCGGCCCGCGUCUGAUUAGCUAGUUGGUGAGGUAAUGGCUCACCAAGGCGACGAUCAGUAGCUGGUCUGAGAGGAUGACCAGCCACAUUGGGACUGAGACACGGCCCAAACUCCUACGGGAGGCAGCAGUGGGGAAUCUUGCGCAAUGGGCGAAAGCCUGACGCAGCCAUGCCGCGUGAAUGAUGAAGGUCUUAGGAUUGUAAAAUUCUUUCACCGGGGACGAUAAUGACGGUACCCGGAGAAGAAGCCCCGGCUAACUUCGUGCCAGCAGCCGCGGUAAUACGAAGGGGGCUAGCGUUGCUCGGAAUUACUGGGCGUAAAGGGCGCGUAGGCGGAUCGUUAAGUCAGAGGUGAAAUCCCGGAGCUCAACUUCGGAACUGCCUUUGAUACUGGCGAUCUUGAGUGUGAGAGAGGUAUGUGGAACUCCGAGUGUAGAGGUGAAAUUCGUAGAUAUUCGGAAGAACACCAGUGGCGAAGGCGACAUACUGGCUCAUUACUGACGCUGAGGCGCGAAAGCGUGGGGAGCAAACAGGAUAAA
Molecule: ribosomal RNA, 700 nt
Filed under: bacterium
Lineage: Bacteria
Description: bacterial SSU rRNA
Rfam family: Bacterial small subunit ribosomal RNA
Source: RNAcentral